CAGCAGGGGACAGCUGCAAAGCAGGAGAUGGAAGGCUGAGGAUGUGUCUGUAACAGAUGGCCCCUGCUUUCCAGGGCGUGGAGGACAGCACUUGGGGAGUGGAGGCCUCACUCUAAGGUGGCCGGGAAGAGAGCUGUUACCAACAGAAGUGUGGAUGCCUGUCACUUAAGUGUUUCACUGCACGGGUCUGCGGGAAUCAUUCAGUAAUGCAAGGGCACACCUGGCAAAAUCAGGUCCCCACAAAGCCA
This 248-nucleotide long non-coding RNA is filed under the name Homo sapiens (human). RNAcentral describes it as "HSALNT0232795". The record is from RNAcentral. Lineage: Eukaryota; Metazoa; Chordata; Mammalia; Primates; Hominidae.